This 474-nucleotide ribosomal RNA is filed under the name uncultured soil bacterium. RNAcentral's name for it is "bacterial SSU rRNA". It matches the Rfam family "Bacterial small subunit ribosomal RNA", at positions 26 to 518 of the family's 1533-position model. The record is from RNAcentral.
AGGACGAACGCUGGCGGCGUGCUUAACACAUGCAAGUCGAGCGGUAAGGCCCUUUCGGGGGUACACGAGCGGCGAACGGGUGAGUAACACGUGAGCAAUCUGCCCUUCACUUCGGGAUAAGCCUCGGAAACGGGGUCUAAUACCGGAUAUGACCGCGCUACGCAUGUGGUGUGGUGGAAAGUUCUGGCGGUGGAGGAUGAGCUCGCGGCCUAUCAGCUUGUUGGUGGGGUAAUGGCCUACCAAGGCUUCGACGGGUAGCCGGCCUGAGAGGGUGACCGGCCACACUGGGACUGAGACACGGCCCAGACUCCUACGGGAGGCAGCAGUGGGGAAUAUUGGACAAUGGGCGAAAGCCUGAUCCAGCAACGCCGCGUGAGGGAUGACGGCCUUCGGGUGUAAACCUCUUUCAGCGCCGACGAAGCGAGAGUGACGGUAGCGCAGAAGAAGCACGGCCAACUACGUGCCAGCAGCCGC